This 459-nucleotide ribosomal RNA is filed under the name uncultured bacterium. RNAcentral's name for it is "partial 16S ribosomal RNA". It matches the Rfam family "Bacterial small subunit ribosomal RNA", at positions 339 to 795 of the family's 1533-position model. The record is from RNAcentral.
CUACGGGGCGCUGCAGUGAGGAAUAUUGGUCAAUGGGCGCGAGCCUGAACCAGCCAUCCCGCGUGCAGGAUGACGGCCCUAUGGGUUGUAAACUGCUUUUCUAUGCCAAGAAACCUGAUUACGUGUAAUCAGUUGCCGGUAACAUAGGAAUAAGCAUCGGCUAACUCCGGGCCAGCAGCCGCGGUAAUACGGAGGAUGCAAGCGUUAUCCGGAUUCAUUGGGUUUAAAGGGUGCGCAGGUGGGCUUGUAAGUCAGUGGUGAAAUGCUGCCGCUUAACGGUAGAACUGCCAUUGAUACUGCGAGUCUUGAGUAUGGUUGAGGUAGGCGGAAUGUGUUGUGUAGCGGUGAAAUGCAUAGAUAUGACACAGAACGCCAAUUGCGAGGGCAGCUUACUAAGCCAUUACUGACGCUGAGGCACGAAAGCGUGGGGAGCGAACAGGAUUAGAUACCCCGGUAGUC